AUGACGUGCAGAAGAGUCCUUGUCGCACCCCAGGCGGGAGUGAUGCAGGCGAAAAACACACCUGAUUCCUUUGGGUCUCCAUGGCAGCAGGGCCAGAUAAUGACGCUCCAUCAGCAGGAAGAGGCUGAUCCUGUGACAGAGGGUGUUUUCAAGGUCAUAUCGCCUAGGAGCCUCUGCCUGGAUGGAAGACGAAUCCGGUAUCUAAGCUUCUCCCUUAAAGCUGUCAGUGAAGCCACUGCCAACUGGAGUGCUUCCGAGUUCCUCCUAAACUCCUGCAUAUGUGUAGUUAAGUCACUUGAAAAGAAAAUAUAAAUGGUCCAAACUCAUCAGUCCACUGUAACUGUACAUGGAGUAUUCAGUUUGCCAUUAAAUUAUGAUUAUCUUGAUUGUUCCCUAAUGUCUUUUUUCUGUCCCAGGUGUGAUUGCUGUUUAUCUUGAAUCUCGCCAGAUAGUAUGGCAAGAACUGUAAAACCCCACACCCAAAAGGCUGAAAGGACCUAAAGCCCAGUUAGAGAAAGAAUUUGAAUAUUAGUUGAUUAACAAACAUACAGGUCCAGAGAGGGGUUGGGUCAUGCAACGCCCCCCUACAUACACACAAACAAACUAUGAGCCCACAGUAUUCCAAGGACACGUUAAAACUUAAAUGACAUAUAGGAACUUGAUACAGUUCAUUCUUAAAGCCAAGGAAAUAAGGUCAUGCAUAACUAAAGACCAACAGCAAGAUAUUGCCUAAACCAUCCUUCAUUUAAACCACCUUGAGCAGGUUCUCUUGCAAGUGGAAGAGAAAGCAGAGAAAGAGAGAGAGGAACCACCAUUGCAAUGAUUUCCAAACAGGUAGAAUCAAAAGGUUGAAAUUUUCAACCAAGAGUUUUCUGUCAUUACAACAGGAGCCUCUCUUAUCUAGGACGGGAUUCCUACCGCGUGGCUGCAGUGUGAUAAAGAAGAAUCAGCUAUCAGUUUCUCACAUUAUCAUACUUCACACAUAGGCACAGUUGUCAUAACCAAUGAACCAAUAUAGAUACACUGUUUUCUUGAUUGUCCCCUA
This 1045-nucleotide long non-coding RNA is filed under the name Sus scrofa (pig). RNAcentral describes it as "lncRNA (ENSSSCG00050072983.1)". Lineage: Eukaryota; Metazoa; Chordata; Mammalia; Artiodactyla; Suidae. The record is from RNAcentral.